GACGAACGCUGGCGGCGUGCUUAACACAUGCGAGUCGAACGAUGAAGCAAAGAAUUGAAGCUUCGGCAGAAAUUCAUUUCGGAUUAGUGGCAGACGGGUGAGUAACGCGUGAGCAACCUACCUCUUACAAAGGGAUAGCCUCGGGAAACCGGGAUUAAUACCAUAUAACAUUGCGACGAAGCAUUUCGAUGCAAUCAAAGCUACGGCGGUAAGAGAUGGGCUCGCGUCCCAUUAACCAGAUGGUGAGGUAACGGCUCACCAUAGUAACGAUGGGUAACCGGCCUGAGAGGGUGAACGGUCACACUGGAACUGAGACACGGUCCAGACUCCUACGGGAGGCAGCAGUGGGGAAUAUUGCACAAUGGAGGGAACUCUGAUGCAGCGACGCCGCGUGAGUGAUGAAGGAAUUCGUUUCGUAAAACUCUGUUCUAUGGGAAGAAAAGGACUGUACCAUAGGAGAAAGCUCCGGCUAAAUACGUG
RNAcentral lists this ribosomal RNA (480 nucleotides) under uncultured bacterium. RNAcentral describes it as "partial 16S ribosomal RNA". It matches the Rfam family "Bacterial small subunit ribosomal RNA", at positions 28 to 507 of the family's 1533-position model. The record is from RNAcentral.